Cricetulus griseus (Chinese hamster) is the source of this 101-nucleotide ribosomal RNA. Lineage: Eukaryota; Metazoa; Chordata; Mammalia; Rodentia; Cricetidae. The record is from Ensembl.
GGUCAUACCAUCUUGAACACAUCCAAUCUUGUGUGAUCUCAGAAGCUAAGCAGGGUUAGGCCUGGUUAGCACUUGGGCAGGAGGCAAGGUCUCUUAAUCAA